Molecule: non-coding RNA, 21 nt
Filed under: Arabidopsis thaliana (thale cress)
Lineage: Eukaryota; Viridiplantae; Streptophyta; Magnoliopsida; Brassicales; Brassicaceae
Source: RNAcentral
UCAAACCGCCUAAACCUCCUG